RNAcentral lists this ribosomal RNA (401 nucleotides) under uncultured bacterium. Its description in RNAcentral is "bacterial SSU rRNA". It matches the Rfam family "Bacterial small subunit ribosomal RNA", at positions 30 to 430 of the family's 1533-position model. The record is from RNAcentral.
AUUGAACGCUGGCGGCAUGCCUUACACAUGCAAGUCGAACGGCAGCACGGGGGCAACCCUGGUGGCGAGUGGCGAACGGGUGAGUAAUGCAUCGGAAUGUACCCAGUAGUGGGGGGAUAACUAGUCGAAAGACUGGCUAAUACCGCAUACGCACUAUGGUGGAAAGCGGGGGAUCGCAAGACCUCGCGCUAUUGGAGCAGCCGAUAUCCGAUUAGGUAGUUGGUGGGGUAAAGGCCUACCAAGCCUGCGAUCGGUAACUGGUCUGAGAGGACGACCAGUCACACUGGGACUGAGACACGGCCCAGACUCCUACGGGAGGCAGCAGUGGGGAAUUUUGGACAAUGGGCGCAAGCCUGAUCCAGCAAUGCCGCGUGUGUGAAGAAGGCCUUCGGGUUGUAAAG